CAGCGACAACGGCGGGGUCCGGCGGCGGCGCUGAGGGCCGUCGGCGGGGCCGGGCGCCGGGGGCAGACGCUUGGCCUGCGGCAGCACCUCGAGCUCGAGCGGGGCGCUGAGCAGCGCCGGGCGGCCGCGGUCCCGCGCGUAGAGACGCAGCGGGAUGGGGGCGCGCAGGUGGAGCAGGGAGCGGACGAGCAGCACGCUCCCGCUACGCGGCACCACGAAGAAGUGCUCGCUGGGCGGGCGGGCGAAGUAGCGCAGCUCGGCGUUGGCGUCCGCGUCCGCGUCCUCGGCGCGCGCCCGCCACACGGCGGAGCCGAGCGGCAGCGUCUCGUCCAGGCGGAGUCGCGCGGGGCGGGCGCCGACGAAGCGCGGGGCGUUGUCGUUGGCGUCCAGCACGCGGACGGUGAGGGCGGCCAGCGGCUCGGCGGGCGCGGCGGAGCGGCGGGUGCAGCGCAAGGCCAGGCGGAGGGAGUAGAGCGGGCGCGCCUCCCGGUCCAGCGGGCGGCGGGUGCGCAGCCAGACGCGGGCGGUGCGGGCGUGCAGCGCCGCCUGGAAGUGCGCGUGGCCUUCGCCCAGGAGCUGCAGGCGCCAGCGGCGGCCCCGCACCUGGGCGCACCACGGCAGGGCGCCCAGGCGCGUCAGGGGGACGCUGAGCCCCUCCACGCGCGUGCCCGCCGGGCGGUUCUCUGCCACGCGCCCGCCGAACGACGGCGUCCUCGGCGGGGUGGCGCGAGCAGAGCCCAGCGGCAGAGCGCAGCACAGCAGCAGCAGGCAGCCGGCUGCGUGCCGGGCCAUGCCGGCGGCCGGAUGGGCACUGAGGCGCUGCGAGGUUGUGCCGGCAGCCGCGCGGGGACUGAGGUAGGAGGGAGGGCGGCCCCGCAUUCGAUCGCCGCGCCCUCGGGGCCGGGCCGGCCGAGGGGCAGCGCCGCGGGACGGGGCUGGGGGUGGGGCCGGCACCGUGCGGCGCCCUCCUGCGGGCACGGCCCCGCGGGGGGUCCGGCAGGGAGCUGCACGCUAGCCACAGCUCCCACGAACCCAGCUUGCCACGCCUGCAUCCUUACUGAAGCGUAUGUGGGCAGCCUGAAUCUGAAUUUAUAUGAAUUUCAUUUAUAUGAAAUCUGA
This 1119-nucleotide long non-coding RNA is filed under the name Anas platyrhynchos platyrhynchos (common mallard). RNAcentral's name for it is "lncRNA (ENSAPLG00000030042.1)". Lineage: Eukaryota; Metazoa; Chordata; Aves; Anseriformes; Anatidae. The record is from RNAcentral.